This is a long non-coding RNA of Vitis riparia (riverbank grape), 896 nucleotides long. RefSeq lists it as uncharacterized. The record is from RefSeq and is a predicted model, not a curated record. The transcript has 2 exons. Lineage: Eukaryota; Viridiplantae; Streptophyta; Magnoliopsida; Vitales; Vitaceae.
CUAUAAAAGCUAUGUGGGCUCUAGGGUUUUCUUAUCCAUACAUGUAGAAGGUAGAAGAAGUGUGUUUAUUACCCUAGGGUUUGAGAUGUGUUCUUGUUUUAGGGUUUUAGAUUUAGAUUUCCCUCACCCUAGGGUUUUGAAGAGGGAGGAAGAGAAAGCAGAGUGAGAUGACUGGCUGUUUUUUGAGGGGAAUGUUGGCUGGCUCGAGGCAUUCACAUAAGAUGAAGAUAUAUAAGUGAAGGUGUCGGACCAGGCUUCAUUCCUCUCAAAUAUACAUGUUCUAUCUAUAUGCAUUUGAAUCUCUUCCGUAUGCCUCUAGGGUUGAUGAUGUAUAGACUGUUGUUCAGUCACGGCAAUCUAGGGUUUUUGUCUCCUUUUGUUUUCCUAGAAAAUUCUGAGAUUUUAGGUUUAGAUCCUUAUGGGUUUUUCAUUUCCCCAUCGACCAUCUCCCAACUCUCUCAAGGUUGCAACUCUCAGGUAAUUGAUUAAUGGCAAACCCUCUUUCUCUCUCUCUCUCUCUGUCUUUUUGAAGGUUGCAUGGAAUCAGUUCCAACCACUUGUUGAUAAUGAAAACAAACACAGAUCACUAGAUGCCAUUGACUUUGAAAGGUCUUUCCUUUUUGUGAAGUUGAAGUUUCUCCCCCAGCAAGAACACAGCCUUUGCUCAUCAACACUUUCCCAAUUGGAAUGGGUCUUUGAUUUCUAGUUAUGUUGCUGCAAACAGAAAGAUUUGCUUCUCCAAAUGACCAAAAUGAUCAGUUGCUGAGAAAGAUUUAUUGAAGAGGACUCUGAAAACCAAAAAUCUUGCAUCAUAUUAAUUGUGGAUGUCAGUCAAGUUUCCUAGGCAUCUAGGGUUUCUGAACAACAUACCUAUAAGAUCCUAGCCUGUUUUUCUU